Molecule: ribosomal RNA, 496 nt
Filed under: uncultured bacterium
Lineage: Bacteria
Description: partial 16S ribosomal RNA
Rfam family: Bacterial small subunit ribosomal RNA
Source: RNAcentral
GAUGAACGCUGGCGGCGUGCCUAAUACAUGCAAGUCGAGCGAACAGAUGAGGAGCUUGCUCCUCUGACGUUAGCGGCGGACGGGUGAGUAACACGUGGAUAACCUACCUAUAAGACUGGGAUAACUUCGGGAAACCGGAGCUAAUACCGGAUAAUAUAUUGAACCGCAUGGUUCAAUAGUGAAAGACGGUUUUGCUGUCACUUAUAGAUGGAUCCGCGCCGCAUUAGCUAGUUGGUAAGGUAAUGGCUUACCAAGGCAACGAUGCGUAGCCGACCUGAGAGGGUGAUCGGCCACACUGGAACUGAGACACGGUCCAGACUCCUACGGGAGGCAGCAGUAGGGAAUCUUCCGCAAUGGGCGAAAGCCUGACGGAGCAACGCCGCGUGAGUGAUGAAGGGCUUCGGAUCGUAAAACUCUGUUAUUAGGGAAGAACAAAUGUGUAAGUAACUAUGCACGUCUUGACGGUACCUAAUCAGAAAGCCACGGCUAACUACGU